AAGUCGUAACAAGGUUUCCGUAGGUGAACCUGCGGAAGGAUCAUUACUAAUCUUUGCUUUUCUUAUACAGAAGCAAAAAAACAUCCCGUCAACCUGUUGCACUUGUUUUAAUAGUUCUAAUGUGUGUAGUUGUUCUUCGGUGCUUGCUAUCGAAGCACUACACACUACUUAUAUACUACAAACUAUCUCAACAAACAACAACCAUAUACAUACUGAUCAUAUAUAACAAAUAACAAACAAAAUACAACUUUCAACAAUGGAUCUCUUGGCUCUC
Molecule: unclassified non-coding RNA, 274 nt
Filed under: fungal sp.
Lineage: Eukaryota; Fungi
Description: partial internal transcribed spacer region
Rfam family: Eukaryotic small subunit ribosomal RNA (bases 1-46)
Source: RNAcentral